GUCCGAUUUUCAGUGGGGUCCCGCACCGACGGGACGUGGCUUAGGAGGAAUCCCAGGCUGUGGGCAUUCCUUGGACCAGUGGCCAGAUUUCCGGCACAUGUAGCAAGCUCCUGGGGGAGGAGCGGAGGCUGAGGAAUAAUUGGGACCUAGCUCAGCCUAGCGAGGAGGGGAGAGGUCAGAUGGGUCUGUAGAAAAGGAAGAUUAGAAAGACUCAGUGACGGUUGGGGUU
RNAcentral lists this long non-coding RNA (229 nucleotides) under Homo sapiens (human). RNAcentral describes it as "non-protein coding lnc-DRD5-25:1". Lineage: Eukaryota; Metazoa; Chordata; Mammalia; Primates; Hominidae. The record is from RNAcentral.